This 254-nucleotide ribosomal RNA is filed under the name uncultured bacterium. Its description in RNAcentral is "partial 16S ribosomal RNA". It matches the Rfam family "Bacterial small subunit ribosomal RNA", at positions 524 to 776 of the family's 1533-position model. The record is from RNAcentral.
UACGGAGGGGGCAAGCGUUGUUCGGAAUUACUGGGCGUAAAGGGCGCGUAGGCGGCCACCGCAAGUCGACUGUGAAAUCUCCGGGCUUAACCCGGAAAGGUCAGCCGAUACUGCGGGGCUAGAGUGCAGAAGGGGCAACUGGAAUUCUCGGUGUAGCGGUGAAAUGCGUAGAUAUCGAGAGGAACACCUGCGGCGAAGGCGGGUUGCUGGGCUGACACUGACGCUGAAGCGCGAAAGCUAGGGGAGCGAACGGG